CAUUAAUAAAUUGACUCUUAAUG
RNAcentral lists this small nuclear RNA (23 nucleotides) under Arabidopsis thaliana (thale cress). RNAcentral's name for it is "snRNA_05252". Lineage: Eukaryota; Viridiplantae; Streptophyta; Magnoliopsida; Brassicales; Brassicaceae. The record is from RNAcentral.